AUCCAUUAAGCAUAAUUAUCUAGUGCAGAGUGAUGAAUGAUGAAUCAUACUAGUAGUUUUUAGAUGUAAUGUUCUAUUCAAUUGGCUUGGUUUUCUUAGGUUACAUAAAUCUGAAUUACUACAUUUCAGAUAGUUUAUGAAAUAAGAGAGUUUGUUGUUGCACACUUGCAUUUUUUUCUCCAUUAUGAUAUUAAUCCAGUUUUUAUACUUGUGAAGAUAUGACCCUGAUCAUAUUGUUUGAUUUGGUUAUGAGAAUUGUAGUUAUUUAACUUUGUUAGCCAAUUAUCUUGCCAUGUUCUCUUUAUUGUAUUCAUAUAUUUUUGAAUUUUGCGAAUGUAGCAGCUAGGUCUUGUGACUUACCAUGAAAGCAAUGCUUUCUAAUUUAAUGACUUAGGAAUAUGAGGUAUAAUUGACAGAAAUAUUCGUUCACUUUUUUGAUAUAUACAAAAUAAAAACUCAAAAUUAUAAUUACUUGGCACAUCUCAAUUCUUUGAGCACCAAUCUAUAUCAAAUACUUGGUGUUCUUAACCUCCUCUCUCUCAUUCUGCAUCUGUUUAGGGCCCAAAUAAAUAGUAAGAGAAACAAAAUUGAGUGUGGUGGUUUGUGCUAUUUAAUAUUUAUUGUAUCAGCUUGUAGAUCAUUAUUGGAUACAUACAACGAUUGUUGUACUAUUUUAACUGUGGCCUAAUCACAUGCAUUAUUUCAUUUUCCCCUUUUGGUGUAUUUGGUUGAAGGAAAAGUGUUGGUGAAAGA
RNAcentral lists this unclassified non-coding RNA (753 nucleotides) under Hevea brasiliensis (rubber tree). Lineage: Eukaryota; Viridiplantae; Streptophyta; Magnoliopsida; Malpighiales; Euphorbiaceae. The record is from RNAcentral.